CUAAGAAUAUUCCGCAAUGGACGGAAGUCUGACGGAGCGACGCCGCGUGGAUGAAGAAGGCCGAAAGGUUGUAAAGUUCUUUUGCUAGGGGAGAAUAAGUGAGGGAGGGAAUGCCCUCAUGAUGACAAGGACUAGCGAAUAAGCCCCGGCCAACUACGUGCCAGCAGCCGCGGUAACAAGUAGGGGGCGCGCGGUGUUCGGAAUUACUGGGCGUAAAGGGCAUGUAGGCGGCUUGGUAAGCCUGGCGUGAAAGACUGCAGCUUAACUGUAGGGAU
Molecule: ribosomal RNA, 275 nt
Filed under: uncultured prokaryote
Description: partial 16S ribosomal RNA
Rfam family: Bacterial small subunit ribosomal RNA
Source: RNAcentral